GGCGGCAGGCCUAACACAUGCAAGUCGAACGCCUCGCAAGGGGAGUGGCAGACGGGUGAGUAACACGUGGGAACGUACCCUUCGGUUCGGAAUAACUCAGGGAAACUUGUGCUAAUACCGGAUACGAUCGCGAGAUGAAAGAUUUAUCGCCGAAGGAUCGGCCCGCGUCUGAUUAGCUAGUUGGUGAGGUAAUGGCUCACCAAGGCGACGAUCAGUAGCUGGUCUGAGAGGAUGACCAGCCACACUGGGACUGAGACACGGCCCAGACUCCUACGGGAGGCAGCAGUGGGGAAUUUUGGACAAUGGGGGCAACCCUGAUCCANCGAUGCCGUGUGGGUGAAGAANGCCUUCGGGUUGUNAAGCCCUUUAGGUUGGGAAGAAAGGUGGUGAANAACCACUGUGACGGUACCAACAGAAUAAGCACCGGCAAACUCUGUGCCAGCA
This 444-nucleotide ribosomal RNA is filed under the name uncultured Alphaproteobacteria bacterium. RNAcentral describes it as "bacterial SSU rRNA". It matches the Rfam family "Bacterial small subunit ribosomal RNA", at positions 38 to 513 of the family's 1533-position model. The record is from RNAcentral. Lineage: Bacteria; Pseudomonadati; Pseudomonadota; Alphaproteobacteria.